GGCGAACGGGUGAGUAACACGUGAGUAACCUGCCCUGAACUCUGGGAUAAGCACUGGAAACGGUGUCUAAUACUGGAUACGACCUAUCACCGCAUGGUGUGUGGGUGGAAAGAUUUAUCGGUUCUGGAUGGACUCGCGGCCUAUCAGCUAGAUGGUGAGGUAAUGGCUCACCAUGGCGACGACGGGUAGCCGGCCUGAGAGGGUGACCGGCCACACUGGGACUGAGACACGGCCCAGACUCCUACGGGAGGCAGCAGUGGGGAAUAUUGCACAAUGGGCGCAAGCCUGAUGCAGCAACGCCGCGUGAGGGAUGACGGCCUUCGGGUUGUAAACCUCUUUUAGUAGGGAAGAAGCGAAAGUGACGGUACCUGCAGAAAAAGCACCGGCUAACUACGUGCCAGCAGCCGCGGUAAUACGUAGGGUGCAAGCGUUGUCCGGAAUUAUUGGGCGUAAAGAGCUCGUAGGCGGCUUGUCGCGUCUGCUGUGAAAACCCGGGGCUCAACCCCGGGCCUGCAGUGGGUACGGGCAGGCUAGAGUGCGGUAGGGGAGAUUGGAAUUCCUGGUGUAGCGGUGGAAUGCGCAGAUAUCAGGAGGAACACCGAUGGCGAAGGCAGAUCUCUGGGCCGCUACUGACGCUGAAGAGCGAAAGCAUGGGGAGCGAACAGGAUUAGAUACCCUGUAGUCCAUGCCGUAAACGUUGGGAACUAGAUGUAGGGCCUGUUCCCGGGUUCUGUGUCGUAACUAACGCAUUAAUUUCCCCCCCUGGGGAAUACGGCCCCAAGGCUAAAACUCAAAG
This 796-nucleotide ribosomal RNA is filed under the name Leucobacter komagatae. RNAcentral's name for it is "bacterial SSU rRNA". It matches the Rfam family "Bacterial small subunit ribosomal RNA", at positions 97 to 906 of the family's 1533-position model. Lineage: Bacteria; Bacillati; Actinomycetota; Actinomycetes; Micrococcales; Microbacteriaceae. The record is from RNAcentral.